AUUGAACGCUGGCGGCAGGCCUAACACAUGCAAGUCGAGCGGAUGAAGGGAGCUUGCUCCUGGAUUCAGCGGCGGACGGGUGAGUAAUGCCUAGGAAUCUGCCUGGUAGUGGGGGAUAACGUCCGGAAACGGGCGCUAAUACCGCAUACGUCCUGAGGGAGAAAGUGGGGGAUCUUCGGACCUCACGCUAUCAGAUGAGCCUAGGUCGGAUUAGCUAGUUGGUGGGGUAAAGGCCUACCAAGGCGACGAUCCGUAACUGGUCUGAGAGGAUGAUCAGUCAAGCGGGGAAUGGGGCAAGGGCCAGACCACCACGGGGGGGAGAGGGGGGGUAUAAUGGAAAAGUGGGCAAAGUCUGAAGCAGCCAAGGCGGGGGGGUGAAGAAGGUUUUCGGUAUGUAAAUGUUCUUAAGUUGGGAGGAAAGGAAGUAAGUUAAAACCUUGCGGUUGUGGCGGUACCAACAAAAAAAGCCCCCGCUAACCUCG
RNAcentral lists this ribosomal RNA (482 nucleotides) under uncultured bacterium. RNAcentral's name for it is "partial 16S ribosomal RNA". It matches the Rfam family "Bacterial small subunit ribosomal RNA", at positions 29 to 505 of the family's 1533-position model. The record is from RNAcentral.